AUUGAACGCUGGCGGCAUGCUUUACACAUGCAAGUCGAACGGUAACAGGUUAAGCUGACGAGUGGCGAACGGGUGAGUAAUGCAUCGGAACGUGCCCGGUCGUGGGGGAUAACGCGGCGAAAGCUGCGCUAAUACCGCAUACGAUCUGAGGAUGAAAGCGGGGGACCGUAAGGCCUCGCGCGAUCGGAGCGGCCGAUGUCAGAUUAGGUAGUUGGUGGGGUAAAGGCUCACCAAGCCAACGAUCUGUAGCAGGUCUGAGAGGACGACCAGCCACACUGGGACUGAGACACGGCCCAGACUCCUACGGGAGGCAGCAGUGGGGAAUUUUGGACAAUGGGCGAAAGCCUGAUCCAGCAAUGCCGCGUGCAGGAAGAAGGCCUUCGGGUUGUAAACUGCUUUUGUACGGAGCGAAAAGGUCUCCUCUAAUACAGGGGGCUCAUGACGGUACCGUAAGAAUAAGCACCGGCUAACUACGUGCCAGCAGCCGCAGUAA
Molecule: ribosomal RNA, 493 nt
Filed under: uncultured bacterium
Lineage: Bacteria
Description: partial 16S ribosomal RNA
Rfam family: Bacterial small subunit ribosomal RNA
Source: RNAcentral